UCUUAUUCCAAUGCAUCUUUUGUCUGUCAUCCUCAAUAAUUCCUUCUAAAAUACUCCAGACUUCCAGCUUUGAUCAAUUAUCUGGACAUCAACCCUCUUCAUAUUGGGUGAUGAUUUCUGUCUCAUUCAUCUCCAAGCUUUCUUUUUUCCUUAAUCAAGCUUAAUUACCCCCUUUCUGAAGUUCAAGAAAUUGAAGCAUCUGGGGCAUAGCAAUUGGGCUUCAGCUGAUUAGGGAAAUCUUUCAAGAAUCCAAGGCAAACCCUUUUGAUGUUGUUCUCAAUUUUUCUCUCAGUUGGAUAAGCUGUGAGAAUAGCUAUAGCUAUAGCUUUUUAAAGUAUGUGCUACUCUUUUCAUCUUGAAGAGGUAUGAGCUAUAGCUUUUUCAGUCUGUACUACUCUCGAGUUCCUGGAGGUUUUUAAAGUUAUAGAUUUUUUGUUUUUCCUUUAUUUGUUGCGGGAUUUGCAAUUAUAUGCCCAGAAAAGAACAUAGCUUUUGUUGCUGAAGUUUGAAACCUGAAAGGGUAUGAUUACAUUGCUUUUUUCAUGUACAAAAGGGGAUUUUUAUAGCUGAAGUUUGAAGCCUAAAAGAGAAUUUGUGGUGUUGUUUCGUCAUGUUGCCUGAUCAGUGUGGAUCUAGCUUGCUUCUGCAUCUACCAGAUGAUGUUCUAAUCAUAGUCACCAGGUCCCUCACUCCCAAGGAUUUAUGUAAUCUUGGUCUUUGCUGUCGAGGGCUGUGUGAAUUAGUGGCCUGUGAGAAGGUCUGGCUUGCACAGUGUGAUAAGCUGGGGGUAGUUCCUUAUAAGGAUCUUAGUGAGUGGAGGAAAGGAGUUUCAUCCUACAAGGCGAUUUGCCGGUUUCUUGUUGGUGUCUUUCCUCUGCUUGGAAUAUGGGUUCACCAAAAUCCUGAGCUUGGCAAUGUAGUUUAUGUCAUGCCUGGUUUUGUGUCGGUUGUUGGGUGCCGAAUUAUACCUCAAGAAAUUGGACCUUUAGGGAUUGAAGAUGGCCCAAUUUUAUGGGCGCCCGUAUUUGAGAUUCUUUGUGAUUUUGAGGGCUCUGCUGAAUUUUUCUUGCAUGGAAGGGAGAGAGACCAUGACUAUGUCUAUCCUGGUUCACUCAAGGCAGUUGAUAGGACUUGUAAUGUGCUCUUACUUGAGGUUGAGCCUCGGCAGCAGAGGAAUGUGGGUAUAUUGGCCCACAGCAAAAGUUUUGCCCAUGAUUUGGAUAAGGAUUUCUCACGGAAGAUUUCUCGGUCGGAUAGUGGUAUUUCAAAGUCAAACAGAAUUGUUGGACACAAUGCCUCAAUGGUGCCUUUUAGCAGAAUGGCAUUUGGUGAUAGGAGAAAGCUUCUAGACCUUGUCACUGGUCAAGUCCGGCUGCAGGUCCGAGACGCAAAAAAUUCACUCCUGUUUCCUCGUUUAAGGGGUGAUGUUGAUUUAUCAGAGGAUAUAGCAAUCCUAUCUGAAAGAAGAUUGCUGCUUAUGCAGAUGUAUAAUCUUGGUAGCAGCCCCAGUGAUAGGAAAGCUGGUGCCAGAUUGCUGUUGGAUCCUACUCAAUUAGAAAUGAGUGAAAUCAGAAAGAAUAUGAAUUGUACACAUGGCUGUGAAACUUCAUGGUAUGGUGAUGGCAGCCGGACUCAGUGCAUGAAAAAGAAAACUCUUACUGGAUAUUUCAGGGAUAGUUUUAGGCAUAUGCUUGGGAAAUCAAACUCAAUUAAUGGUAGCCGUGAGACAUUGAAAAAGAAUUUUUCUUCCGGGGGAAACAGACAUGCACAGCUUCAUGAGUUUCUGCAUUCUGGUGACACAAUAGGACUGACGUUACAUGCUUCAACUGUGAAAUUAUCGUCUUACAGGGCAUGGCCUAAUAUGCAUGAUAGUCGGUUUGCUCUUUACAAGCUGCCCAUGCGGGAGCCAGUAGCAGGCCAAGAAUAUUCUGGUCUUUGGGGAGGUACAUUUGGUUGGCCUCCUGGGCGGCCUAGCGAAGACAAGCUUGGAAAGGCUCUCUUUUUCCUUUUGCUCUCUUAUGAGAAGUCACAGGGCCAGACUUUACUCAUAGCUACCAAGAUAUUAGAAGGUACUCAUUACGUUCUUCAUCCAAAUGGCUCUGCUAUGUUCAUAGUCAAUAUUGAUGAAUCUUCACUGGAGCCAUUUCCUUGGGAGGCUGAUGAAGAUGGCCGUGUUCUUAACGUAGAGUGUGCUUAUAAUGGGGAAGGUAUUGCAAAUGGGUACGGUUUCAGAUAUCCUGGUUCAAAACCUGGCUCUUUAUUUGUGAUUCAAGAUGGACUGCUCGCUUUUGUAUGGAGGGAGUCUAAAUCAGUUUUGACCUUACAGAGGCUUAACUUAGAGAAGCUUUUGAAGAAAGGUGAACGGAUGCAUGCACUACCUCCAGUUUCCAAUUUCGCUUAUCUGACCCGGUCCUAUUCCAAUGUGUUUGCUGCCUUCUCUAAUUCUGCUAAUAGUUUGUCUUCACAAAGGUAAUGUCUUAUACUGUAAAUUUAGCAUUGCCAACAAUUCUGAGACAGCUUUGAUUACUGUUGUUCAAGAUAUGCAGCAAAGACGCUGAUGCAUGUAAUGUAUUUAGGGCAGGGUAUGAUGCUAUUUGGGGUAAUCAUGGGUACCGUGCAUGCUAGAGUGAAGUUGAUUAAGCUGCAACAUAUCUCUCUCGGCUAUAUUCUGGAAAGGCAACGAGGAUAUACAGAUAGUUAAUGACUUCCAAAAGCACUUACUGAUGUCGAGGGUCUACUAUUUUUCGUGGGACAUCAUAAUAACAUUGAGAAGUUAAGCUGACCAGUACAAAAUUCCCAAUCUUGGUAGUAAUACAUAAUUUGGUAUCUGUCAAUACAAUCUUCCGUGUAUUCUUGCAUUUGUUGGGGUGUCUCCUUUGCUUUUGACAAGAGCUCCUAGUUUGGGAAGGAAGUUUGCUGUUAGAGAAUGGUAGAAGUUCGAGUUUGUUGAUUUUUCAGAGCACAUGAAGGUGCUCAUUCUGUACGUCUUCUAGAUGAUCAAAUACAGUUGAGACAGAAAGUACCAUGAUGUAGAUGUUAUCAGAGUGACAAUUCUGUUGAGAUUUAUAUGUAUACUUUCCAGAACAAAGUUGUCAAUAAUAUGCUGCUCCUUGAUUUUGCAACA
RNA transcript from Coffea eugenioides, 3124 nucleotides. It is a transcript of the gene named F-box protein At5g39450, with no coding region annotated. The transcript has 3 exons. Lineage: Eukaryota; Viridiplantae; Streptophyta; Magnoliopsida; Gentianales; Rubiaceae. The record is from RefSeq and is a predicted model, not a curated record.